Molecule: ribosomal RNA, 429 nt
Filed under: Chloroflexota bacterium
Lineage: Bacteria; Bacillati; Chloroflexota
Description: Chloroflexi bacterium partial 16S ribosomal RNA
Rfam family: Bacterial small subunit ribosomal RNA
Source: RNAcentral
UGGGGAAUAUUGCACAAUGGGCGCAAGCCUGAUGCAGCCAUGCCGCGUGUAUGAAGAAGGCCUUCGGGUUGUAAACUACUUUCAGCGGGGAGGAAGGGAGUAAAGUUAAUACCUUUGCUCAUUGACGUUACCCGCAGAAGAAGCACCGGCUAACUCCGUGCCAGCAGCCGCGGUAAUACGGAGGGUGCAAGCGUUAAUCGGAAUUACUGGGCGUAAAGCGCACGCAGGCGGUCUGUCAAGUCGGAUGUGAAAUCCCCGGGCUUAACCUGGGAACUGCAUUCGAAACUGGCAGGCUAGAGUCUUGUAGAGGGGGGUAGAAUUCCAGGUGUAGCGGUGAAAUGCGUAGAGAUCUGGAGGAAUACCGGUGGCGAAGGCGGCCCCCUGGACAAAGACUGACGCUCAGGUGCGAAAGCGUGGGGAGCAAACAGG